GUGUACGCGAGUCAUUGGGUAAAUAAAACCUAAAGGCGCAAUGAAAGUAAAGGGUGGAAAAGAUAUAGGAAGGAAAGUAAUUUUCAUCCUUAAUUCUAUACACCCGAGGGAAGAUGGUUUACCUUGUUUUCAAAUUUUUUUUAAAAUUUUUAAACGUAGGUUUCUCGCAUUCCCAGGGCGCUUGUUUCUUGCUUUGCAAGUCUAUGCGCACCUAGAGCGUACACGAUGAUACCCGAAAGAUGGUGAACUAUGCCUGGCCAGGACGAAGCCAGGGGAAACCCUGGUGGAGGUCCGCAGCGAUUCUGACGUGCAAAUCGAUCGUCAGAGCUGGGUAUAGGGGCGAAAGACCAAUCGAACCAUCUAGUAGCUGGUUCCCUCUGAAGUUUCCCUCAGGAUAGCUUGCGCUCAAUUGAUUGAGUCUCAUCCGGUAGAGCGAAUGAUUAGAGGCAUUGGGGUCGAAACGACCUCAACCUAUUCUCAAACUCCAAAUAGAUGAGACCCCUGGCUUUCUUAAAUUUUUUGAAGUCUUGGGAUUAGGAUCAGAGUGCCAAG
RNAcentral lists this ribosomal RNA (552 nucleotides) under Mendis apicimaculata. RNAcentral's name for it is "eukaryotic LSU rRNA". It matches the Rfam family "Eukaryotic large subunit ribosomal RNA", at positions 680 to 1126 of the family's 3401-position model. The record is from RNAcentral. Lineage: Eukaryota; Metazoa; Arthropoda; Insecta; Hemiptera; Reduviidae.